GUUGGAUUUCUGGCUGGGCGCCGAUGUGACACAAAGUGCUCACAAGGCACCGGCCAUCCUUCUGUAAACUAGGUUAGUCUUUGAUUAGACUGCUUAGGGAUCAGAUAAUUUACCUUGAGAAAAUUAGAGUGUUUCAGGCAGGCUUAGCCGGAAUACAUUAGCAUGGAAUAAUGGAAUAGGACUAUGGUCUCGUUGUUGGUUUGAGGGAUCGCAGUAAUGAUUAAUAGGGAUAGUUGGGGGCAUUAGUAUGUAUUAGCUAGAGGUGGAAUUACUCUAAUUUAAUAAAGACUAACUUAUGCGAAAGCAUGUGCCAAGGAUGUCUUCAUUAAUCAAGAACGAAAGUUAGGGGAUCAAAGACGAUCAGAUACCGUCCUAGUCUUAACCAUAAACUAUGCCGACUCGGGAUCGGGAGCGCGUGUUAUCCGCUUUCGGCACCGUAUGAGAAAUCAAAGUCUUUGGGUUCUGGGGGGAGUAUGGACGCAAGGCUGAAACUUAAAGGAAUUGACGGAAGGGCACCACCAGGCGUGGAGCUUGCGGCUCAAUUUGACUCAACACGGGAAAACUUACCAGGUCCAGACAUGAUGAGGAUUGACAGAUUGAUAGCUCUUCCUUGAUUCU
Molecule: ribosomal RNA, 618 nt
Filed under: uncultured eukaryote
Lineage: Eukaryota
Description: SSU rRNA
Rfam family: Eukaryotic small subunit ribosomal RNA
Source: RNAcentral